GCCUCUUCACCGCCGCGUAUCAGUCCGCCAACGCUGCCGUCGCGAGCACGGGACGAAUCUAAGGGUAAAAGGAGGCGGUUUGCUCCCCACGUUCAGAGCCGAGCCUAUCUGUGCCAACACCCUUUUCCUUCUUUUCGGAACAGCACCUUCUUACUAAACAGAUCGGAGGUUGGACUGAGAGGGCGGGGGCCGGAGGCGGGUCAUGGGCUGGGGGGAAGGGUAGACGAGCGGCGGAAACCCUUAGACUCAGAGAAGCAUCGAGAACCGGAAGGAGACCAUGGGAGGAAGGUAAUGGAAGCGGCAGCUGCGCGGUCGAGCCCCACGCCCCUCCCGAAAGCGUCCCCCAAUUUCCUCACUUGGUAUUGAGGAGGCGGAUCUCGCGAGAGUCUCGUGGCUGGCCAGCCGGAGCUGUAGCGCUGCAAUGACUUAAGGGCAGUUUUGUGCACUCUUCCUGAUGGGGGCCCGCCCCCAAUCGACAAAUUCUCGCGAGAUGCAAUGGGGCACCGGCUCGAGCUGGGGCGGGACGUCGUCGAGGAAGCACCGCCCCUGAAUGCUUCUGCAGGUGGGAGGGAGAGGAAAUGGAAUUCCCCUGUCUGAAGCCAAGGUAGCAAACAUUUUUACUUACUCAAAGGGAAUUCACAAUAUCCAGGAGGUCCAUGAAGAAAAGUCCCAGAGAAGCUGAUUUGUACUCCCCUAAUCUAAACAAGCUUCAGUAUGAAAGUGUAAUGGACCAUGUUAAUGCUCUGAAUUAACAGGGCACAGAGGACUGGGACAAAUUUGAGGUCAGAGUUCUUAACGUUUUGUGCCACAGACCACAUUAGCAGUCUGUUGAAGCCUUGGACUCUUCUCAGAAUUAUACUUUUAAAUGUUUGAAAUAAAAUUCAUAGCAUUACAAAAGAAAAAAAUUUGAAAUAGAAUUUCAAAAUAUUAAAGGCAAAUUUUUGAUAUAGGAAUAUAUGUGCUUUAUUAACAUAGUAAAAUCUAGUAUGGGCCUAAUAAAGACCAAAUUUUUGAAAUAGUGAUGAAUAUAUAAUUUACAGAGUUUGCAACAGUUGUAAUGUGAUAUAAAGUAAUCUGUGAUUCUCCCAGGAGAUACAGAUAGAAGUGCAGCUGUUUGUUGCUUUCCAUUCAGAACUGAAGGAAAUGUUAAUUUUCAGGUAGAGAUUAGUAAAAAUAGAGAUGUAAUUUAUCUCCCAUUCAAGUUGACACAACACUCGAAUCCUGUCCAUGGACUUAAUGUUAAAAAAUCUUGGGUGAGGAGUUCCCUAGUGGCUUCAUGGUUAGGGAUCUGACAUUGUCACUGCUGUGGUAUGGGUUUGAUCCCUGGCCCAGGAGCUUCUGCAGGCCAUAGGUAUAGCCAAAUAAUUAAGUUAAAAAUAAAACCAUUAAAAAAUUUGGGGUGGAAUGAAGUAGGCAUAUUCCUGUUGGUAAGCCUUGAAGGGAUUGUGAAAUUUUGACAUAGAAAUAUAAUUGGUAUUCAUAAUAAUAGUGAUGUAUUAAAAAGUUUACCACCAAUAUAGUCUUAUUAAGAAGGCAUGGAAGUGAGUAAUAGGUUUAGAAAAUAAAUUUAUCCCAUUUGUUGAUUUCUUUCCUUUUUUUGAGGUACCUAUGAAGGUACCCUAUAGAAAAUUUACCUACCCAGAAUGAUUCAUUUCACAAGCAUUCUGAAUAACUUAGGUUUUAUGGUAUCACUCUUACUUAUUACACAGCUUUACAAUGGUGGAAGAGUUGCGAACUGAAAAUUAUAAUAAAAAAUGAAAGAAAUUAAAAUACUGUAUAUUUUAAAUUCUUAAUAACAAGUAGUAAUUAUCAUCUGUGUGUGCUGGGCCCUUUAAAUUUUUUUUUUUUUUUCUUUUUGGGGUCGCACCCACAGCAUAUGGAAGUUCUCAGGCUCGAAUCGGAGCUAUAGGUGCUGGUCACAUCCACAGCAGCAUGGUAUCAAAGCCAUAUCUCACAGCAACUCUGGAUCCCAGACCCACUCACUGAGGGAGACUAGGGAUCAAACCCACAUCUUCAUGGAUACUAGUCGGGUUCAUAAUCUGCUGUGCCACAACGGGAACUCCCGGCCCUUUGAUUUCUCUCAACAAAUCCCCAUUACACAGAUUAAACAUUCAAGGUCAUACAGUCACUGAGUAGGUUGCCAGAAUUUAAAUCUAGGUAAUGUGAUCUCAAAGCUGUCUUUUUUUAAAAAUUAAGAUAUAGUUGAAAAGCUCUGACUUUUAACUACUAAGAUGUUUUUUUACCCUUCAACUAUUAGUCAACAUUAAUUUGCCCACUAGUAUAACAAAUACAUAUUUGCUGACUCAAAAUAUUCCUACCCAGUAUUAAAAAGGAAUUUUCUGAAUUCUUCCUUUGCUGUGGUAUUGUUUAUAUCCAACACUGCCUUUAAAAUAAGUGGGCUACCUGUUGGGAAUGGAAAAUAGUUUGUUUUACAGAAAUUUUUGUUGUAGUAGAGUUUUGCUUAGAAGAUGAAGAAAUCCACUCAUGCCUUUCCUUGCCCUACAAAUAUAUUUUCAUAUCUGAAAUUAAAUCUUUGUGUUAUAAUGGUGCAAUUUUUUAUAUUGGCCACUAUCAAAGUCAUGUGCAAGAAAUUACUGCAUGUAAAAUCCUAAUAUAUGAAGUUCUGGAUUAUCCACACUUAAUGGAAGCACAUUCAUUUUUAUUUGGCACUGAAGUGAAUUUACUGGUUGAUACACUUUCUGUUUGUUUGUAUUUACACUGACAAACUUACAUUUCUACUCAGUUUUCCUAAGAUUAAAAUUAAAAGGACCAUGGCCUGAAGUAUUUUGAUGUUUUAGAUAGCGGUUUAGAAUUAUCUCAAACUUUAAAACACUAUUCACAUAUCUGGUAGUAUAGAGAACCCACUUUACAGUUGCAAUUGACCUGUUUGAAUUAUGAUGAUAGAAAUGUCUCCAUCUGAAAAAAAGGUAGGAAAAUAAUCAUUUUAAAUAUUGAAGUGUGCAAUAUGUUGAAGUUAUGGUUUUAUAUAUUGAAACAUUUACAUUCAGAAAUUAAAGAUAACAAAAAUGUUGAAGAUAGGAGCUAAAACGAAUCCAUUCCUUAUUGAAUAGAAGUCUAUAAUUAUCGUAGAUCAGUUUUUCUUGCAUAAAUUGACAUAAAACAUGAGAAAAAUAUAAAGAAUGAAAAAAUUAGCAUAAAAGUAACAAUGGAAUAAUUAAUCCAAAUUAUGAAGUCCUAAUGUUAUAUGAAUGCAUCAGUGAAGCUACAUUAUUGUAAUAUUGUGAGUAGAGGGGUUAAUUAAAAUGUACUUGUGAAUAAAUGUAGUUAACAUACAUCAGUACAUAUAUUGUUAAUAUUGCAUCUGUAUUUUUAAAUCUUUCUAACGUUGUCACAGCAUUUUUUUUUCCUUACUAAAGAAUAAUCGAUUUAC
This is a non-coding RNA of Sus scrofa (pig), 3391 nucleotides long. Lineage: Eukaryota; Metazoa; Chordata; Mammalia; Artiodactyla; Suidae. The record is from RefSeq and is a predicted model, not a curated record.